This 423-nucleotide RNase P RNA is filed under the name Tepidisphaera sp. Its description in RNAcentral is "RNase P RNA component class A". It matches the Rfam family "Bacterial RNase P class A". From Rfam's summary of the family: Ribonuclease P (RNase P) is a ubiquitous endoribonuclease, found in archaea, bacteria and eukarya as well as chloroplasts and mitochondria. Its best characterised activity is the generation of mature 5'-ends of tRNAs by cleaving the 5'-leader elements of precursor-tRNAs. Cellular RNase Ps are ribonucleoproteins. The record is from RNAcentral. Lineage: Bacteria; Pseudomonadati; Planctomycetota; Phycisphaerae; Tepidisphaerales; Tepidisphaeraceae.
UGAGUGCGGCAAGGCGGCCGCGAACGCGGGGGAAACCUCGCGGGCGAGGAAAGUCCGAGCACGGCAGGACACGGUGGUGGGUAACGCCCACCCGCCCGCACACUCAAAGUGGUCCGGGCGAGGGAAAGUGCCACAGAAACUCAAACCGCCUAAGCCUCUUUCGAGAGGCCGGCAAGGGUGAAAAGGUGGGGUAAGAGCCCACCGCCCGCGGCGUGAGUCGCGGGGCAUGGCAAACCCCACCGCGUGCAAGGUCAAGCAGCCCUCAGCCUGGUCCGGGUAGUGGGGGCGGGUAGACUGCUCGAGCGUCGCGGCAACGCCACGCCUAGAGAAAUGGUCGCCAUCGCCGGAAGGCCCGUCAGCCCCCGUCAAAGGAGGCGGGAACCGCCGGCGAAACAGAACUCGGCUUACCGCCGCACCGACCGC